CAGCAAUCUGACCUCUCUGUACCCAUAUCGUCUUCCUCCCCUUGCCAUAAUUCUGUACCAAGCCGUCCAGCUGCGCACUAGGGUUCGGGAAAUCUGCUCCGUCACCUCUCUCGCCCCCUCUCCUGGAUCUUCUCCCCCUUCUAUCUGGUACCUAGUUCCGGCGCCUUUGAAGCACGAGCUCCCCUCCUCUUCUCUGAGUCGGGCCCGAUGAAGUCGCCAUUGCUGCCGGCGAGCGCGUAAAUGUAGCGGUGUUGUGCUGUAGCUCCUGGGGACGAAGAGGAACUACCCAAAGGAGCCGACUAUCUUGUGCACCUUGACGAUUUCAGGUUGUGCGGUUGAAAUAGGACCUGGCCAUCGUCCUUUAUAGCUCAGGAUCCAAGCUGCGGGAGCACUGGACCGGGGAAAUUGUUACUGCAGCGAAGCAUGCCACAUCUCCUCUGGGGCUUCCCCGUCCCAGUCGCACGAGAUCUAUUGUGUGCCAUUGUUUACAGUCUGAUGGAUCUGAGAACAGGAUAACAACUGAAGCUAAAGCCUUGGGAAUUUCAGAAUUUAAGUUUUCUAACACUCAACAUGGCAUUUUCAGCGGAUACACAUGGCAACAAGGAAACGAACGACACUGGAGGCCCAACAACGGUUAAAACGUUCGCGCUAGGGGGUUUCCUCUGGGCACCUCCUAUUUGGCACGCUGGUCGCCCUCGCGCGUACCCCCUCACGCGUUGGGUACUCAUAUGGGCCGGCCCAUUUUUGGAUUUUAUCUCCACCGGUUUUGGGAAGGUUCUAGAACAUUCCCUAAAACGGGUUUUUCUUUCUGUUUUCCCUUUAUUUUCAUUUGCAAGCAUCUUUCAAAUUCAUGAACAUCUUUGGAAAACAUGAACAUUUUUUUUUGAAAUCCUGAACAUUUUGCAAAUACAUGAAUUUUUUUAAACCGUAAAUUUUUUAAAAUUGGUGAACAUUUUUGAAAUUGCAUAUCUUUUUUGGAACACGUGAACAAUUGUUCUGAACCGACGAACAUUUUUAAAAUUUGGGAACAAUUUUUUGAAAUUCAGGAACUUUUUUUAGAAAUCCAUGAACUUUUUGUGAAUCUACAAGCAUUUAUCAAUUCAUGAACAUUUUUUUUCAAAUCAUGCACAUUUUUUAAUUCACGAACAUUUUUUUCAGUAUCUACAACUCUUGUGAAAUCCUGAAUUAUUUUUAAAAAGGAAAAACAGGAAACAUAAAAAAGAAAAAAUGAAAGGGCAAAAAUGAAGGGGCUUCUCGUUUCCUGCACCGCACAUGGGCCGACCCGUUAGGGCGCCCGCAGGGUGCACUUGACACCUUUCUCUCGGCGCCCAACACGCUAAAUAGGAGCUCCCUUUUCUCCACCGUGCAAAAAAGUCAGCUCGAUCCUCCCUUUGCCCUGCGAACCAUACGUUCGUUCCGAGGAUCAAUAUGAGUUGAUGUACGCGAGUUACAUCCUUUAUUUUUUGAGGGGUAAAAAUCUCUCUCUCUCACACACACACACGAUUCAGGUGUACCAUUACAGUUAGUAGCCAGGAGUCUAAGAAAAUGAUUUGAAACCGUAUCUAGAAACAAUUGCUCCUUUUUGGUUUUGGCAGCUGCGGCGAGCUCAUGCAUAUGAGGAAGUGGGUGAACUGAGACGAUAUGCUCUUUAUGUUAGUAAUCACUAGCAAAAAUGGUGUGUUAUAGUGAGAGGAAAAAGUAUCACAUGCCCCUGACCCUGUAAGCAUGGUUUUAAGAUCCCUAAAAGUCAAAGUCCAAUAUUUCAACAUGGCACCCUCACCAAUAGUAGCUCCAGAGUCCACGUAAUCAUAAUGCAUUUGAAUGUGGUUAAUCCCAAUGCAAUGAGCUAGGACACUGAUCUCCUCGAGCUAGAUAUUAGGGCCGCUCUCCACACCCUGCAUCAUGCACCUAGUCCAUACACUCCUAAUGCUUCAUCUCUCUUUUGACUCAUAAUGUCGUGGAAAUGUUUCCCCGAGGGAGGGGCAGGUCCUGCACGUGUCCCCUCAUGACUCCUUAGGGCCCGGUCACUGCCUCAUGGAUGUCACUCUGUCGUAUGAUACAUCUCCAAGGUAUCUAUAAUUUUUGAUUGCUUCAUGCUGUUAUAUUAUUAUUCUUGGAUAUUUUACAAUUAUUUUAUAUCAUUUUUUUGGUACUAACCUAUUGACAUAGUGCCCAGUGCCAGUUGCUGUUUUCUCAAUGUUUUUUACAUCACAGAAAAUCAAUAUCGAACGGAGUACAAACGCAGUGAAACUCCGAGAGGAUUUUUUGGG
Triticum aestivum (bread wheat) is the source of this 2270-nucleotide long non-coding RNA. RefSeq lists it as uncharacterized. The transcript has 5 exons. Lineage: Eukaryota; Viridiplantae; Streptophyta; Magnoliopsida; Poales; Poaceae. The record is from RefSeq and is a predicted model, not a curated record.